RNAcentral lists this ribosomal RNA (305 nucleotides) under uncultured bacterium. RNAcentral describes it as "bacterial SSU rRNA". It matches the Rfam family "Bacterial small subunit ribosomal RNA", at positions 335 to 656 of the family's 1533-position model. The record is from RNAcentral.
AUUCCCUACGGGACGCAGCAGUGGGGAAUAUUGGGCAAUGGGGGAAACCCUGACCCAGCGACGCCGCGUGAGGGAAGAAGGUUUUCGGAUUGUAAACCUCUGUCCUUGGUGACGAUAAUGACGGUAGCCAAGGAGGAAGCCACGGCUAACUACGUGCCAGCAGCCGCGGUAAUACGUAGGGGGCAAGCGUUAUCCGGAUUUACUGGGUGUAAAGGGAGCGUAGACGGCAUAGCAAGUCUGAAGUGAAAGCCCGUGGCUCAACCGCGGAACUGCUUUGGAAACUGUUAAGCUGGAGUACUGGAGAG